RNAcentral lists this ribosomal RNA (440 nucleotides) under uncultured bacterium. Its description in RNAcentral is "partial 16S ribosomal RNA". It matches the Rfam family "Bacterial small subunit ribosomal RNA", at positions 338 to 795 of the family's 1533-position model. The record is from RNAcentral.
CCUACGGGUGGCAGCAGUGGGGAAUAUUGCACAAUGGGGGAAAGCCUGAUGCAGCAACGCCGCGUGAAUGAAGAAGUCUUUCGAGAUGUAAACUUCUUUCAGCAGGGAAGAAGAUGACGGUAACUGAGUAAGAAGCACCGGCUAACUACGUGCCAGCAGCCGCGGUAAUACGUAGGGGGCAAGCUUUAUCCGGAUUUACUGGGUGUAAAGGGAGCGUAGAGGGUAUAGCAAGUCUGAAGUGAAAGCCCAAGGCUAAACCAUGGGACUGCUUUUGAAACUGUUAAGCUAGCGUGCGGGAGAGGUAAGAGGAAUGCCUGGUGUAGCGGUGAAAUGCGUAGAUAUUAGGAAGAACACCAGUGGCGAAGGCAGCUUACUGGACAGGAACUGACGUUGAGGCUCGAAAGCGUGGGGAGCAAACAGGAUUAGAUACCCCGGUAGUC